RNAcentral lists this non-coding RNA (23 nucleotides) under Cricetulus griseus (Chinese hamster). Lineage: Eukaryota; Metazoa; Chordata; Mammalia; Rodentia; Cricetidae. The record is from RNAcentral.
GUUCCGAUCCGCUGCUAUUAGAG